This 126-nucleotide non-coding RNA is filed under the name Candidatus Microgenomates bacterium. RNAcentral's name for it is "Microgenomates Gottesmanbacteria FMN sequence". It matches the Rfam family "FMN riboswitch aptamer (RFN element)". Rfam says of the family: The RFN element is a highly conserved domain that is found frequently in the 5'-untranslated regions of prokaryotic mRNAs that encode for flavin mononucleotide (FMN) biosynthesis and transport proteins. This element is a metabolite-dependent riboswitch that directly binds FMN in the absence of proteins. Lineage: Bacteria; Candidatus Microgenomatota. The record is from RNAcentral.
GUAUUCCUUCGGGGUAGGGUGAGAUUCCCAAUCGGCGGUAUAACCCGCGAGGUCCCGAUUUAAUCGGGACCAUGAUCAGGCUGAAUUCCUGAGUCGACCGUAAAGUCGGGAUGGAAGAAGGAUUAC